GCCUUGCUGAAUUAUUCACCCUUGUCUUUUGCGUACUUCUUGUUUCCUUGGUGGGUUCGCCCACCACUAGGACAAACAUAAACCUUUUGUAAUUGCAAUCAGCGUCAGUAACAAAUUAAUAAUUACAACUUUCAACAACGGAUCUCUUGGUUCUGGCAUCGAUGAAGAACGCAGCGAAAUGCGAUAAGUAGUGUGAAUUGCAGAAUUCAGUGAAUCAUCGAAUCUUUGAACGCACAUUGCGCCCUUUGGUAUUCCAAAGGGCAUGCCUGUUCGAGCGUCAUUUGUACCCUCAAGCUUUGCUUGGUGUUGGGCGUCUUGUCUCUAGCUUUGCUGGAGACUCGCCUUAAAGUAAUUGGCAGCCGGCCUACUGGUUUCGGAGCGCAGCACAAGUCGCACUCUCUAUCAGCAAAGGUCUAGCAUCCAUUAAGCCUUUUUUUCAACUUUUGACCUCGGAUCAGGUAGGGAUACCCGCUGAACUUAAGCAUAUCAAUAA
Molecule: ribosomal RNA, 493 nt
Filed under: Alternaria sp.
Lineage: Eukaryota; Fungi; Ascomycota; Dothideomycetes; Pleosporales; Pleosporaceae
Description: eukaryotic LSU rRNA
Rfam family: 5.8S ribosomal RNA (bases 127-280)
Source: RNAcentral